AAAUAGCAUAAUUUCAAUUAAUGACUGAAAAGUAAGAUAGUUCAAAAUCUUUGUUUUAGUGAGAUUUAAAAAAUAUAUUACUUGAGACUGUUGAAUUAAUUCUGAAAUUGUUGUCUGAGAAAACUUAUUACUUUCCUCGUAGGGUCAAAUCAAUCUAAAGUGAAGGUGUAGAAGAGCCAUGAAGUAAAACUUCAUGUUCUGGAAGAGAUAAGAUAGUGAUCCAAGUUGUCCUGGAGUCUGGACAACUGACAUAUAUACCAUUCCAUUGGUGGUGGGGACAACUUUCUCUUCACAUAAUUGUGUUUUUACCCCCAACAAAAAAACAAGUAAACUAGACUUGUUUUGUACUGAUUACCUUAUCUGUUUUGUUAGAUAACUGUUUGAAUUUUAUGUUUUAUAAAAUAGAACAUAUAAUAUAAUACUUUAAAUCCAAUUUGAACAAAACUAAAUUUAGGUUAGGAUUGACCAAAAUCGAAUUUAAGUAUCAUUAUGUUAUAUUUUGUAUUAUAACACAGAAUCAUAAGACAGAAGGGGGUCGAUAAAUAAUUUUGCAAAACAAAUGAUUCACUCUACUCGGGAGCAGCAGAAUAGUCAUUUCUUCUAUAAAAUGGUAAACAAGGCAGAAUCUGGAUAAAUAAAAGACCAAUGUUUCAGUCAUAUGCUGAUCAGAUCACUCCGUUUUUUAACAUACAAAAUAACUAUGUAAAACUCCAAGUU
Long non-coding RNA from Cannabis sativa, 717 nucleotides. RefSeq lists it as uncharacterized. The record is from RefSeq and is a predicted model, not a curated record. The transcript has 2 exons. Lineage: Eukaryota; Viridiplantae; Streptophyta; Magnoliopsida; Rosales; Cannabaceae.